This 161-nucleotide non-coding RNA is filed under the name bovine gut metagenome. RNAcentral's name for it is "Lysine riboswitch". It matches the Rfam family "Lysine riboswitch aptamer". From Rfam's summary of the family: Riboswitches are metabolite binding domains within certain messenger RNAs that serve as precision sensors for their corresponding targets. Allosteric rearrangement of mRNA structure is mediated by ligand binding, and this results in modulation of gene expression. This family includes riboswitches that sense lysine in a number of genes involved in lysine metabolism, including lysC. The record is from RNAcentral.
UAAUGAUAGAGGCGCAAGUGCUAUCAGUAACGUUAGUCUAUGAUUUUCGCAAAAUUACGGCUGGCGUGAAAGGAGUAUUUGCCGAAGAAUUUCAAGGCGUAAGAAAUUCUGGGCGAACGGACAAUAUUCGUUCGACUGUCGCAAAUGCGGAGUGCUAUCUU